This 88-nucleotide transfer RNA is filed under the name Methanobacteriota archaeon. Its description in RNAcentral is "Euryarchaeota archaeon tRNA-Leu". It matches the Rfam family "tRNA". From Rfam's summary of the family: Transfer RNA (tRNA) molecules are approximately 80 nucleotides in length. Their secondary structure includes four short double-helical elements and three loops (D, anti-codon, and T loops). RNAcentral also lists the same sequence under 4 other names. The record is from RNAcentral. Lineage: Archaea; Methanobacteriati; Methanobacteriota.
GCGCGGGUCGCAUAGUCUGGCCAAUCGCGGAAGGCUCAAGACCUUCUCCCUCAGGGGUUCGCAGGUUCGAAUCCUGCCCCGCGCACCA